GCUUGUUCAGAGUAAUAAAUUUAUUAAAAUAAAUAAAUUGUGCUGCCUACUUACAGAAGGUUGCUAAAAACACAGCAUAUCGAUCUAUCACAGUUGACAAUCUUAAUUCUAACAUUUUGUUGAGGUAAUUUUUCGUCGUUAUUUACAUAUUAAGCUAAGCUUACUCGCGUCUUGUCUAACUUAAACUCAUCAAACAAAUUAAUUACACUUGCUCCGAAUGAUCCCCGGCUGCCGAACCACAAUCCUCGGACUGACCAUUUCCUUACUCCAAAUGUGUUGGC
This is a long non-coding RNA of Bradysia coprophila, 281 nucleotides long. Lineage: Eukaryota; Metazoa; Arthropoda; Insecta; Diptera; Sciaridae. The record is from RefSeq and is a predicted model, not a curated record.